RNAcentral lists this ribosomal RNA (233 nucleotides) under uncultured bacterium. RNAcentral's name for it is "partial 16S ribosomal RNA". It matches the Rfam family "Bacterial small subunit ribosomal RNA", at positions 99 to 334 of the family's 1533-position model. The record is from RNAcentral.
CGGACGGGUGGGUAAUGUAUGGGGAUCUGCCUGAUGGCGGGGGGAUAACUACUGGAAACGGUAGCUAAUACCGCAUAAUGUCUGCGGACCAAAGCGGGGGACCUCCGGGCCUCGCGCCAUCAGAUGAACCCAUAUGGGAUUAGCUUGUAGGUAAGGUAACGGCUUACCUAGGCGACGAUCCCUAGCUGGUCUGAGAGGAUGAUCAGCCACACUGGGACUGAGACACGGCCCAG